RNAcentral lists this ribosomal RNA (293 nucleotides) under uncultured bacterium. RNAcentral describes it as "partial 16S ribosomal RNA". It matches the Rfam family "Bacterial small subunit ribosomal RNA", at positions 355 to 639 of the family's 1533-position model. The record is from RNAcentral.
UAGGGAAUCUUCCACAAUGGACGCAAGUCUGAUGGAGCAACGCCGCGUGAGUGAAGAAGGUUUUUCGGACCGUAAAGCUCUGUUGUUGGUGAAGAAGGAUAGAGGUAGUAACUGGCCUUUAUUUGACGGUAAUCAACCAGAAAGUCACGGCUAACUACGUGCCAGCAGCCGCGGUAAUACGUAGGUGGCAAGCGUUGUCCGGAUUUAUUGGGCGUAAAGCGAGCGCAGGCGGAAGAAUAAGUCUGAUGUGAAAGCCCUCGGCUUAACCGAGGAAUUGCAUCGGAAACUGUUUU